UACGUAUGGAGCAAGCGUUAUCCGGAAUUACUGGGUGUAAAGGGAGCGUAGGCGGCAAGGCAAGUCUGAUGUGAAAACCCAGGGCCCAACCCUGGGACUGCAUUGGAAACUGUAUUGCUUAAGUACCGGAGAGGCAGGCGGAAUUCCUAGUGUAGCGGUGAAAUGCGUAGAUAUUAGGAGGAACACCGGUGGCGAAAGCGGCUCUCUGGCCUGUAACUGACACUGAGGCUCGAAAGCGUGGGGAGCAAACAGG
RNAcentral lists this ribosomal RNA (253 nucleotides) under uncultured bacterium. RNAcentral describes it as "partial 16S ribosomal RNA". It matches the Rfam family "Bacterial small subunit ribosomal RNA", at positions 524 to 776 of the family's 1533-position model. The record is from RNAcentral.